CUUAGUGUAGAUAUUUGCUCGGGAGAUUGGUGUUUCUUUCGAUUUGCAGUAAAAACUUCCUUUUUAAGUUGGAAACGAGUAGACAUCACUGAAUGUCUGAUGUGAAGGUCACAAGGUGAGCGUCCUGACAGCGUGUGGUUCGGGAUUGUCCGGCAUGAACCUGAAGCAAAGUUUUGACGGAUCUGGUAUGCUAGAUAAACUACGAUAAACUAGAUAAAACACAGAUGUCUCUCAAGGGCCGUGGUAGAACUAAUGAUAUACAUUUUGAGGAAAGCAGGUGUAGCUGUUUGAUGUCAAGCUGUGGUCUAUUUAGCCAUUAAUCAGCGCUGUUGAUAAAUGACAGACCACCCAGAACACAAUCCUUCCAGGAAAUGACUUGGGACCUCAAUGUAAAGGAUACAGUGUGUCGUUUUCUCACUGGUAGGUGAAAUGCUGGAGACACGACAUCAAAAUAUGGACGAGAUUCGACAUGCCAAAAAUAAUCGUGGUUGUCUCCCUUUGACCACUGUGAUUGUCAUAUUAUGCAGUUUAAGGACAAGCAGGAACUGGUUGCAGUAAAAAAAGAAAUGAGGGUAUGCCAAUGCGUGCAGACGGUCUAUAAUGUAACCCUGAUCUAGAACUUACAAAGGGCUCUGUCUUGUAGGAUGUGAUCCUGUGAUGUCCAGCAAUUAUUAGAACAACAGAAAAAUCUCUUAAUCAAUGAGAAAGUAUUGGGAAGACAUAACACCAAAAUAUAAAAGGCCUUGGCUUUGUCAAACCAGCAUCCCAGUUGUGUCAGAUGUAACGAGAAUGAU
Long non-coding RNA from Mya arenaria, 794 nucleotides. RefSeq lists it as uncharacterized. The record is from RefSeq and is a predicted model, not a curated record. NCBI's taxonomy places the organism in Eukaryota, Metazoa, Mollusca, Bivalvia, Myida, Myidae. The transcript is spliced from 6 exons.